AUACGUAGGGGGCGAGCGUUGUCCGGAAUUAUUGGGCGUAAAGGGUGCGUAGGCGGCUGAACAAGUCAGAUGUGAAAGGUUAAGGCUUAACUUUAAUAAGCAUAUGAAACUGUUCAGCUUGAGUUAAGGAGAGGGGAGUGGAAUUCCUAGUGUAGCGGUGAAAUGCGUAGAUAUUAGGAGGAAUACCAGUGGCGAAGGCGACUCUCUGGACUUAAACUGACGCUGAGGCACGAAAGCGUGGGGAGCAAACAGGAUUAGAUACCCUGGUAGUCCACGCCGUAAACGAUGAGUGUUAGGUGUAGGGGGCUUGAAGCUUUCUGUGCCGCAGUAAACGCAAUAAACACUCCGCCUGGGGAGUACGGUCGCAAGACUAAA
RNAcentral lists this ribosomal RNA (375 nucleotides) under uncultured bacterium. RNAcentral's name for it is "bacterial SSU rRNA". It matches the Rfam family "Bacterial small subunit ribosomal RNA", at positions 523 to 898 of the family's 1533-position model. The record is from RNAcentral.